CCACUUUUUCCCCCCAGUCCACCCAUGUAUGUAACUGCAGUUUCACAGGAAGACCCUGACAUCAUCAGUAGAGUGAAAGUGAUUGAGUAAAAUAAAGGUUGGCCUUGAAUCAUUCCUCACUACAAUGAUUAUAUUAAAUUAUGCCUAAAAACCUUGUCAGGAUAAAAGAAAAACGUUCUGUUUCUGUACGACAACAAAGGUAGCCUAAUCUAGACUAUACCCUGAACACUAUGCAGAAUCUGCUGCCAAUGGCUGUCAGAAAAGCCAAUGUUUAAAUUGGGAAAAAAUACUUAAAGGUAAAAUAAACAAAUUUGUUCACUUUUAUGAUGAAUAAUGUAUAUUGUAUAUGUAUAUAAAACUCACCAGUAACAAGAUGAUAAUAUUUAGAGAGGUAGCUUACCAAAUGUCUGAUAGAAUGAUGAGCAUGGAAACCAAAGCCAAAAGUUCUUGUCAUAUUCACAUUAUAUUCACGUUUCAAUAACCGUUUUCUUUUCACAUUUUGAAGUUAGAGUUGCUAUACGGCUACUUUGACCUACAUUGAUGUUAAUGUUAGCAAAUAAAUGUAAAAACGAGUGUGGCUUGCUAUAGCUGCUGGUGUCAAAGUUGCUGGAACAUAAACACAAGCCUAACAUACGGGUGGUGCAGCUGCAACCUUUAUCUCCUCUCUGUGAUUUGUUCCGGCAGGACUUUGCACAUUUCUGUGAAUGGCAACUCAAUUAUCCUGUCAGAGCGGAUAAACCAGCAAUAUAUGGCCUAUAUAUACUGUACAUAUGCUCUCACACAGUAUGAGAGAGAGAUUGCAAAAAAAACUUUGUUGUGCUGAAAUGGUGACUGAAUUGGUUUUGUUUUUCACGUGUUUUGGGAUCUCAGAAUGAAAUUAAGUAAUAUCUGAGAAUAAUAGUUGGACGUGGUGAACUGACAGGUCUUGAUAGCAUCUCUGUGGAGGAGAGACGAUGUUGUGAGCUGUUGAGCAAUGCUGCAAAACCACAGACACGUGUCGUUAACGUGAAAUGUGUCACUUCCAUUUCACUGCUUGCCACCCGCUCACUGCAAGGCAAGCCACAUGCUCUUAACCAUCGACAUUGAUGCCCUCGAGGUUGGAUCAACUCUUAGCCAUCGACACUGAUGCCUGCGAGGUUGGAUUAAGAAUCUCUCUUCUCUCUCUUUUUCUGUGUAUAGCUGCAUGCAUGUGAUUUUAAGAUUGUGGUAUGAAUGAAUACCUUUGCAUUUAGAUGUGCGACGAUUUAUAUUCUUUGGUAUAUUUCUAUAGGGUUUUAAGUUCAACAAAGUGAAGAGAGUAGCUGGAACAUUAGGUUCCAAUAGGUGUGUUUAGGUGGACCACUAAUGAAUAUGACAGACAAGAAUGAAAGUCAGUGUGGCAGUACUGUCUUUGCAGAGACCAGAGGGGACAUGCACUGCUCAUCUCGUGUCAGCUCAUUUCUACGCUGUUCACAAGCUAUUGUGGAACAUCCUUGGCCAAAAGUUACAGUGAUCAAGAGGUGACGGUCACAAGCAAAGACCUGAUUAAGUGUGAGCACUCAAAAAACUACUGUGUCACAGACAGCAGUGACUGCAGCUCAACUCAUGCGGUGCAUCGUGGACUAAUUGCUGGUCAGUUUGUCCUUUCCUUUAGCUUGAUACGGUAAAAUA
Molecule: long non-coding RNA, 1650 nt
Organism: Clupea harengus (Atlantic herring)
Lineage: Eukaryota; Metazoa; Chordata; Actinopteri; Clupeiformes; Clupeidae
Exons: 3
Source: RefSeq, a predicted model, not a curated record